GGCGGCGAGCGGCGGACGGGUGAGGAAUGCGUCGGAAUCUGCCCAGUCGUGGGGGAUAACGUAGGGAAACUUACGCUAAUACCGCAUGCGCCCUAAGGGGGAAAGCGGGGGACCGAAAGGCCUCGCGCGAUUGGAUGAGCCGACGCCGGAUUAGCUAGUUGGUGGGGUAAAGGCCCACCAAGGCGACGAUCCGUAGCUGGUCUGAGAGGAUGAUCAGCCACACUGGGACUGAGACACGGCCCAGACUCCUACGGGAGGCAGCAGUGGGGAAUAUUGGACAAUGGGCGCAAGCCUGAUCCAGCCAUGCCGCGUGUGUGAAGAAGGCCUUCGGGUUGUAAAGCACUUUUGUCCGGGAAGAAAACCCCGGGGCUAAUACCCACGGGGAAUGACGGUACCGGAAGAAUAAGCACCGGCUAACUUCGUGCCAGCAGCCGCGGUAAUACGAAGGGUGCAAGCGUUACUCGGAAUUACUGGGCGUAAAGCGUGCGUAGGCGGUUUGUUAAGUCAGAUGUGAAAGCCCCGGGCUCAACCUGGGAACUGCAUUUGAUACUGGCGAGCUAGAGUACGGUAGAGGGUGGUGGAAUUCCCGGUGUAGCGGUGAAAUGCGUAGAGAUCGGGAGGAACAUCUGUGGCGAAGGCGGC
Molecule: ribosomal RNA, 642 nt
Filed under: Silanimonas sp. AL8
Lineage: Bacteria; Pseudomonadati; Pseudomonadota; Gammaproteobacteria; Lysobacterales; Lysobacteraceae
Description: bacterial SSU rRNA
Rfam family: Bacterial small subunit ribosomal RNA
Source: RNAcentral